RNAcentral lists this ribosomal RNA (332 nucleotides) under uncultured eukaryote. Its description in RNAcentral is "partial 18S ribosomal RNA". It matches the Rfam family "Eukaryotic small subunit ribosomal RNA", at positions 1470 to 1796 of the family's 1831-position model. The record is from RNAcentral.
CCCUUAGAUGUCCUGGGCUGCACGCGCGCUACACUGAUGUGUCCAGUAAGCACCUAACCUCUUCCGAAAGGAACGGGUAACCUUUGCAAAGCACAUCGUGAUGGGGAUAGAUUAUUGCAAUUAUUAGUCUUGAACGAGGAAUUCCUAGUAAGCGCAAGUCAGCAGCUUGCGUUGAUUACGUCCCUGCCCUUUGUACACACCGCCCGUCGCUACUACCGAUUGAAUGGUUUAGUGAGAAUUUUGGACUGGAACUCCCUUGCUCAGCAAUGGGCGAGGGGGAGUCCGGGAAGCUAUUCUAACUGUAUCAUUUAGAGGAAGUAAAAGUCGUAACA